Molecule: ribosomal RNA, 465 nt
Filed under: Vreelandella stevensii
Lineage: Bacteria; Pseudomonadati; Pseudomonadota; Gammaproteobacteria; Oceanospirillales; Halomonadaceae
Description: partial 16S ribosomal RNA
Rfam family: Bacterial small subunit ribosomal RNA
Source: RNAcentral
CCUAGGGGUGGCAGCAGUGGGGAAUAUUGGACAAUGGGCGAAAGCCUGAUCCAGCCAUGCCGCGUGUGUGAAGAAGGCCUUCGGGUUGUAAAGCACUUUCAGUGGGGAAGAAAGCCUUGGGGCUAAUACCCUCGAGGAAGGACAUCACCCACAGAAGAAGCACCGGCUAACUCCGUGCCAGCAGCCGCGGUAAUACGGAGGGUGCGAGCGUUAAUCGGAAUUACUGGGCGUAAAGCGCGCGUAGGCGGUCUGAUAAGCCGGUUGUGAAAGCCCCGGGCUCAACCUGGGAACGGCAUCCGGAACCGUCAGGCUAGAGUGCAGGAGAGGAAGGUAGAAUUCCCGGUGUAGCGGUGAAAUGCGUAGAGAUCGGGAGGAAUACCAGUGGCGAAGGCGGCCUUCUGGACUGACACUGACGCUGAGGUGCGAAAGCGUGGGUAGCAAACAGGAUUAGAUACCCCAGUAGUC